RNAcentral lists this ribosomal RNA (474 nucleotides) under uncultured Pseudomonadota bacterium. RNAcentral describes it as "bacterial SSU rRNA". It matches the Rfam family "Bacterial small subunit ribosomal RNA", at positions 355 to 821 of the family's 1533-position model. The record is from RNAcentral. Lineage: Bacteria; Pseudomonadati; Pseudomonadota.
UGGGGAAUAUUGGACAAUGGGGGCAACCCUGAUCCAGCAAUGCCGCGUGUGUGAAGAAGGCCUGCGGGUUGUAAAGCACUUUCGGUAGGGAAGAGGGGUUUACGGGUGAAUAGCCUGUAGACUUGACGUUACCUACAGAAGAAGCACCGGCUAACUCCGUGCCAGCAGCCGCGGUAAUACGGAGGGUGCGAGCGUUAAUCGGAAUCACUGGGCGUAAAGAGCGCGUAGGCGGCUCUACCAGUCAGGUGUGAAAGCCCUGGGCUCAACCUAGGAACUGCAUUUGAUACUGUGGAGCUAGAGUCUGUCAGAGGGUGGCGGAAUUCCGGGUGUAGCGGUGAAAUGCGUAGAUAUCCGGAGGAACACCGGUGGCGAAGGCGGCCACCUGGGGCGAGACUGACGCUGAGGUGCGAAAGCGUGGGGAGCAAACAGGAUUAGAUACCUGGUAGUCCAUGCUGUAAACGAUGAGAACUGGGU